CCCCGGGCGGGGCGGGGGCACGGGGGGACUCCUACGGGAGGCAGCAGUAGGGAAUUUUCCGCAAUGCACGAAAGUGUGACGGAGCGACGCCGCGUGUGUGAUGAAGGCUUUCGGGUCGUAAAGCACUGUUGUAAGGGAAGAAUAACUGAAUUCAGAGAAAGUUUCAGCUGACGUACCUACCAGAACAGAGAGAUGGG
This 197-nucleotide ribosomal RNA is filed under the name Oenococcus oeni. Its description in RNAcentral is "partial 16S ribosomal RNA". It matches the Rfam family "Bacterial small subunit ribosomal RNA", at positions 311 to 497 of the family's 1533-position model. Lineage: Bacteria; Bacillati; Bacillota; Bacilli; Lactobacillales; Lactobacillaceae. The record is from RNAcentral.